RNAcentral lists this ribosomal RNA (240 nucleotides) under uncultured bacterium. Its description in RNAcentral is "partial 16S ribosomal RNA". It matches the Rfam family "Bacterial small subunit ribosomal RNA", at positions 15 to 244 of the family's 1533-position model. The record is from RNAcentral.
GAUCCUGGUUCAGGAUGAACGCUAGCUACAGGCUUAACACAUGCAAGUCGAGGGGAAACGAUAUUGGAAGCUUGCUUCCGAUAGGCGUCGACCGGCGCACGGGUGAGUAACGCGUAUCCAACCUGCCCACCACUUGGGGAUAACCUUGCGAAAGUAAGACUAAUACCCAAUGAUAUCUCUAGAAGACAUCUGAAAGAGAUUAAAGAUUCAUCGGUGAUGGAUGGGGAUGCGUCUGAUUAG